Molecule: small nuclear RNA, 161 nt
Filed under: Carlito syrichta (Philippine tarsier)
Lineage: Eukaryota; Metazoa; Chordata; Mammalia; Primates; Tarsiidae
Description: U1 spliceosomal RNA (ENSTSYG00000029958.1)
Rfam family: U1 spliceosomal RNA
About the family: U1 is a small nuclear RNA (snRNA) component of the spliceosome (involved in pre-mRNA splicing). Its 5' end forms complementary base pairs with the 5' splice junction, thus defining the 5' donor site of an intron.
Source: Rfam by way of RNAcentral
GUACUUACCUGGAAGGGGAGAUAUCAUGGUCACGAAGGUGGUUUUCCCAGGGCGAGGCUUGUCCAUUGCACUCUGGAUGUGCUGACCUCUGUGGUGUCCCAAAAGGUGGAAACUCAACUGCAUAACUUGUGGUAGUGGUGCACUGUGUUCACGCUCUCCCG